RNAcentral lists this ribosomal RNA (1478 nucleotides) under human gut metagenome. Its description in RNAcentral is "bacterial LSU rRNA". It matches the Rfam family "Bacterial large subunit ribosomal RNA", at positions 845 to 2308 of the family's 2925-position model. The record is from RNAcentral.
AUAGCUGGUUCUCCCCGAAAUAGCUUUAGGGCUAGCCUCGAGGUAGAGAUUGCAGGCGGUAGAGCACUGAUCAGGAGAGGGACCUACCCGGUUACCAAACCCAGUCAAACUGCGAAUGGCUGCAAUUAUACUCGGGAGUCAGACUACGACUUAUAAGGGCCGUGGUCAAAAGGGAAACAGCCCAGAUCAUCAGCUAAGGUCCCAAAUGCCGUGCUAAGUGGCGAAGGAUGUGGCGUUUCAUAAACAACCAGGAUGUUGGCUCAGAAGCAGCCACCAUUUAAAGAGUGCGUAAUAGCUCACUGGUCGAGAGACGCUGCGCCGAAAAUGUCCGGGGCUCAAGCACGGAACCGAAGCUAUGGCAUGACAGCGAUGUCAUGGGUAGGGGAGCGUUCUUAUAAGGAAGAAGCAUUACCGUAAGGAGAUGUGGACAUAUAAGAAGUGAGAAUGCCGGUAUGAGUAUCGAAAAGAAAGGUGAGAAUCCUUUCCACCGAAAGCCCGAGGGUUCCUGAGCAACGAUCGUCGACUCAGGGUAAGUCGGGACCUAAGCCGAGGCGGAGACGCAUAGGCGAUGGACAACAGGUUGAAAUUCCUGUACCGGAUGGAGUCAUUUGAGCGAAGGAGCGACGCAGGAGGGCACAUGAUCGCGCGGCUGGAAGAGCGCGUCCAAGUGCGUAUGCGUAGAGGGAGGCAAAUCCCCCUUUACAGAAGCAGAGACAUGAUGGGGAGUUAAAGGAGACUUUGACGAACUCAUGGAUCCCACACUGCCAAGAAAAACUUCUAGCGAGACGAAAUCCGCCCGUACCGUAAACCGACACAGGUAGGCGGGGAGAGAAUCCUAAGGUGCGCGGGAAAACCCUCGUUAAGGAACUCGGCAAAUUGCAUCCGUAACUUCGGGAGAAGGAUGACCCUGAGUAGGCGAAAGGGAGAAACCCCCGGAACAGAAAAGGGUGGCAGAAAAGAGGCCCAAGCAACUGUUUACCAAAAACACAGGUGCCUGCGAAAGCGAAAGCUGAAGUAUAGGUGCUGACGCCUGCCCGGUGCUGGAAGGUUAAGGAGAGAGGUUAGCGCAAGCGAAGCUUUGAACUGAAGCCCCAGUGAACGGCGGCCGUAACUAUAACGGUCCUAAGGUAGCGAAAUUCCUUGUCGGGUAAGUUCCGACCCGCAUGAAAGGCGUAAUGAUUUGGGCACUGUCUCAACGAGGGGCCCGGUGAAAUUGAAAUACCUGUGAAGAUGCAGGUUACCCGCGACUGGACAGAAAGACCCCAUGGAGCUUCACUGCAGCUUGAGAUUGAAUCCCGGUGACAUAUGCACAGGAUAGGUGGGAGGCUAAGAAGUAAUGCCUUUGGGUGUUACAGAGCCGAUGUUGGGAUACCACCCUUAUGUUGCUGAGAUUCUAACACGGAGACUAACAACCUCGUGGACCAUCUCAGGCAGGCGGUUUGACUGGGGCGGUCGCCUCCUAAAAUGUAACGGAGGCG